CGGCAUGAAUAUGGCUGACAAACUUAUAGUGGUUGUCGAAUUGUACCAACCACAUCUUAUGUUGCCACCAGAACAAUAUUAAUGUGACUAUGUAGAAAUGGAGAAGGGUCAAAGGUAUUCGAUAUCAUACAUUCACGACUACUACUCCUUCUGUACCAUGGUAUGAUUCUUUUGUAUGUAGUUUGUUACUUGCAGCAUAGACUGUACAUAUGCCAGAAUAUGAUUGGAGAAUUAGUCCCUCACCAAGCUAUACUUCCCAAGUUAGCAAAAUGUUAAUAUGAUGACAAAAGUACAAUCAAUAUUUUGAUGAUAAAGAAUUCCGUGUUGAAUAGUCAAUAAAUAAGCCUUUUAUAGCAUCAAUUUUUAUAUAGAUUAAUUUGGUUCAUGCUUAGGAAUUGUUGACUCACUUAACUCUGUCAUGGAGCCGAGAUGAAAUUAUACAACGACAAAGCAGACAUGUUGACAAAGUACCAAUGUAUACACUAAAAAGGGCAUUUGUUUACCAUGCAUCCUUCCAAUAAUGAUAAUUAUUUUCCAACUUUUACUUGCUUUUUCUUGAGCUAUAGCCUUGCCCUAGAUAGGGGAAAAAGUGUCUAGCUAGCUUUUAUCCCAACAUAAUGAGAAUUUAUGAUUGAUCUACACAUUAUUAGUAUAUGAUUGUUUCCUUACUUCCCAUUCAACAAAUGUAUAUCCUGAUUGUUUGGAGUGGCCAUGCAGUCCCCUCCUUAUGUUUCCAGCAAAGAAAAGAUGCUCGAAACAUUGCAGUUUCUUGGUUAUUAGGCGACCCACCACCGCCAGAGAACGGAGACUUAGACUGGAACCAACCAUCUGCAAAAAGAGUAACAGAGCAAAGCAGAGAAGAAAAUGGAGGGGGGGGUACUAGCUAACUACUUUAAAAGGAAAGACAAACUUCUCUAAAGAGGCCUUUGGUCCUUAGGCACAACCUAUAUUUUUUACACGAAGAUAACAAUUGGAAUGGAUCAUGAAAUCUUCAUGUCAAAACUUCCUAAUUUAUAUGUUUUACUUAUAUUUAAUUAAGAAAAUACCAAGUUAAGCACGGCAUUGUUUUCGACCAGCUGUUUGUCAGUUCAUGUGGAGUCUGUAGCUUAUUGCAAAGGUCAAGCUAACAAAAUGGUCAGAUGAUCAACAUCUGCUGCUCUGAGAUGGCACAUCUUCAAGCAUUGGUCUCUGCUAUCUAUAGGAAGGUAGAGCUUCAAUUGGUGUUGUGUAUUUUUAGGUAGCACAGAGCAGAGUCUGUAGCUUAUUGCAAAGGUCAAGCUAACAAAAUGGUCAGAUGAUCAACAUCUGCUGCUGUGAGAUGGCACAUCUUCAAGCAUUGGUCUCUGCUAUCUAUAGGAAGGUAGAGCUUCAAUUGGUGUUGUGUAUUUUUAGGUAGCACGGAGCAGCUUUUGAAACUUAUGUUUUACGAUACUGAAUAGUAUCAUUCCGCAUGCAUCAGUGAUCGAGGAUGGGACUUCUUGGUAUCUUUGCACCCAGCUUGACCUCAAACCUACUGCACCCUACUCAUUUGAAAAUAAAUAAUGACAAACACGCAUGCACAUGCUUAACCACGGGCGCGUGCGCCGCGCCUUCCUCCUGCUAGUACUAAUAAUGAUUACUCGUACUGGUUCUCGGCCACGGGCGAAAUUAAUCAAUGGAAUGCUAGUUUAAUAGGAAACCGUUCAUGCAAGUAACUACUUCCU
RNAcentral lists this long non-coding RNA (1703 nucleotides) under Hordeum vulgare. RNAcentral's name for it is "long non-coding RNA (HVUL_LNC007171)". The record is from RNAcentral. Lineage: Eukaryota; Viridiplantae; Streptophyta; Magnoliopsida; Poales; Poaceae.